AUUGAACGCUGGCGGCAGGCCUAACACAUGCGAGUCGAACGGUAGCACAGAGAGCUUGCUCUCGGGUGACGAGUGGCGGACGGGUGAGUAACGUCUGGGAAACUGCCCGAUGGAGGGGGAUAACUACUGGAAACGGUAGCUAAUACCGCGUAACGUCGCAAGACCAAAGUGGGGGACCUUCGGGCCUCACACCAUCGGAUGUGCCCAGAUGGGAUUAGCUAGUAGGUGGGGUAAUGGCUCACCUAGGCGACGAUCCCUAGCUGGUCUGAGAGGAUGACCAGCCACACUGGAACUGAGACACGGUCCAGACUCCUACGGGAGGCAGCAGUGGGGAAUAUUGCACAAUGGGCGCAAGCCUGAUGCAGCCAUGCCGCGUGUAUGAAGAAGGCCUUCGGGUUGUAAAGUACUUUCAGCGGGGAGGAAGGCGGUGAAGUUAAUAGCUUCACCGAUUGACGUUACCCGCAGAAGAAGCACCGGCUAACUCCGUGCCAGCCGCCGCGGUAA
RNAcentral lists this ribosomal RNA (504 nucleotides) under uncultured bacterium. RNAcentral describes it as "partial 16S ribosomal RNA". It matches the Rfam family "Bacterial small subunit ribosomal RNA", at positions 29 to 523 of the family's 1533-position model. The record is from RNAcentral.